CACCACAGAUUUUCUGGGGUGCCUGUGGGCUUUCUGACUGAUGAGCACUUCUCCAAAGAAAGGUGUCAGGUCCGAGCAUGGGAUCCCAAACGAGCGAUGGCUCUGAAAUACCCAAGUGUUUGACCUAGAGGGAGCUCUCUUACAUGAAGAAUGAGACUUGGCGCUGCCUGCCUGAACAGCUUUUAGCGUCUGUAUUUUCAGCAAGCUUCUGCUUCCUGUAUUCUGAGCUCACACUGCCAGAGCAGGCAAGAAACGUGAGCAGCAGAGGCAGGAGAAGUUACUUGGGUUCAUACCCCCAGUCUGACUUGAAAAAUGCCAGAAGAAACCCUGUAAAUGCUCAGCAGCUGUUAAUAUGAUUCUGUCGAUAAGUUUACCAUGGUGAUUUGGCUAUAUUUGGUGAGCGUGUGAAGAAAUCACUCACCGGUUGGAAGAAGGAAAGACAAGCUGUCGAUAUCAAGGGAGAAAUGCUAAUAACCCCGGUGACAAAUCAUUCCUGGGAAUCUCAAAGGGUUAAAAAAAAAGCAGCAGCACUUCCCGGAGAGAGGGGCCUUGGCGAGUGAAGGUGACUCAUCCGGAGCUGCAGACACCAGCU
This is a long non-coding RNA of Vidua chalybeata, 592 nucleotides long. RefSeq lists it as uncharacterized. NCBI's taxonomy places the organism in Eukaryota, Metazoa, Chordata, Aves, Passeriformes, Viduidae. The transcript is spliced from 3 exons. The record is from RefSeq and is a predicted model, not a curated record.